This 253-nucleotide ribosomal RNA is filed under the name uncultured bacterium. RNAcentral's name for it is "partial 16S ribosomal RNA". It matches the Rfam family "Bacterial small subunit ribosomal RNA", at positions 524 to 776 of the family's 1533-position model. The record is from RNAcentral.
GACAGAGGGUGCAAACGUUGCUCGGAAUUACUGGGCGUAAAGCGCGUGUAGGCGGAUUCAUAAGUCAGGUGUGAAGUCCCUGGGCUCAACCCAGGAACUGCACUUGAAACUGCGAGUCUUGAGUAAUGGAGAGGGAAGCGGAAUCCCUGGUGUAGAGGUGAAAUUCGUAGAUAUCAGGAGGAACACCGGUGGCGAAGGCGGCUUCCUGGACAUUAACUGACGCUGAGACGCGAAAGCGUGGGGAGCAAACAGG